AAUGUCUAUAUUUGUGGUGAAAAUAUUUAAAAAAUGUCUUAGAUCAAAUUACAUUUCAGUGUUACGGCUGAUAUAGCUAGGCUAGCUGGUGAUGUUACUCUUCUCUUGACAAGAGUGUCAUGCAGUCUCUGAGAGGAAGAGGACUAGUCUACCAAGAGUGGAUUAUUACUUAGUGUUUCAGGUAUUAUCCAGCCUUGGUGAUCCUAUAGUACUGGGAGGGACUGGAGAACAUGACAGGGCCAGUAACAGCUACCAAUGGUCAUCACUGACAGUAUAACUUUUUUGAAAAAAGGAUCAGUCUCACAUUUUUUGGCAAAAAACACAAAUGUGUUUCUGAUGUCUAAAAAUAGACUUUGUGUACUUGCAUCAUGCAAGUGUCAUGUCAGCAAUCUUAACGUCACGUGGCAAAGUGGGAGGAGUAUUAAGUGACGUGUCCUCUUUCUCGUUGAAAAGAAAAGGAUAUUUGCUUUGAAAUGUCUGCGAGGCUAGUUGGACAUUUUAAAUGCUUGCUGUAACUUAAUAUGUAAAUAUUAUGGAUAUAGGUGUUUUGAAUCAACAGUCGGGCGGGUCAUUGACAAAGGGAGAGAGAAGUUCAGGAAUUUCAAAGAUUUUGCAGACCAGAAGCUUCUAAAAUGGCGUGUUAAUGCCAUAUUGUCUAACAGAGGCCGGUACUUUUUCGUUGGCUUGGAUUUAGCUGACAAGGUCAUUGAUAGUAUGGAGAACUGUGUUGAGGCCAUUGGGAAUAAAAUUGAUCAAAUUAUUGACAAUAUGGACUAAGUUGACUUUGAUGAAUAGUAAUUAAUAAUAAUUACAUAUAAUAGUAUAUUUACCAUUCGGGUCGUUGGUUAUUAACUAGAUGUCCUAAUAAAAGUAUAGCAUGAUGUAAAAUUGAUUUGAAUGUCUUGCAAGUUGUUAAAUCGUCAAUUUCUUCAUAUUCUUUCCCAACAACCUUGAUAUAGAAAGUAGUUCCAUUGUAACUGGCAACCAGGACAAACCCCAGAAAGAAAAUGUAAUUUUACGCUAACCUAAGAAUAAGAUAAUAAUUGUAGUAACCGAGCGGAGGUCAUGAUGAACGCCUUAUCUUUUUGAACAAAAGGAACCAUAAAAAAACUCUCAAAUCUCUCGAACACA
Molecule: long non-coding RNA, 1131 nt
Organism: Amphimedon queenslandica
Lineage: Eukaryota; Metazoa; Porifera; Demospongiae; Haplosclerida; Niphatidae
Exons: 3
Source: RefSeq, a predicted model, not a curated record